AACGAACGCUGGCGGCAUGCCUAACACAUGCAAGUCGAACGAGACCUUCGGGUCUAGUGGCGCACGGGUGCGUAACACGUGGGAAUUUGCCUCGGGGUAUGGAAUAACUCAGGGAAACUUGAGCUAAUACCAUAUAAUGUCUUCGGACCAAAGAUUUAUCGCCCUGAGAUAAGCCCGCGUAGGAUUAGCUAGUUGGUGGGGUAAAGGCUCACCAAGGCGACGAUCCUUAGCUGGUCUGAGAGGAUGAUCAGCCACACUGGGACUGAGACACGGCCCAGACUCCUACGGGAGGCAGCAGUGGGGAAUAUU
RNAcentral lists this ribosomal RNA (309 nucleotides) under uncultured bacterium. RNAcentral describes it as "bacterial SSU rRNA". It matches the Rfam family "Bacterial small subunit ribosomal RNA", at positions 29 to 365 of the family's 1533-position model. The record is from RNAcentral.